AGUGUGACUACAUUUGGAGCGACUCAACGGCAGUGAAGGAUCAGUGGGCAGGGACCGCGCCAGGCGGAGGAAGGAAGGGAAGGCUCACGGUGCGCGCUGUGUCAAAAAAACCAGAAAGGAGUGUGGCGUCAGUGAGACUGGGGAUGCCCGGGUGUUGCUCUCUCUUUGGGUCUGAACAGGGGGGGAAAACAUCCCUCUCACCGUGUUUCCCAGCCCCUGACUGGUGGAAUCUAUGAGCGAAACACAUUAUUUUGAUCUGAUGGAAUCUGAGUUUUACUGGCUGCUGUGUUUUGCCUUCAAGUGGAGAAUCAUCACACCGUCUGGUUCGUGUUCAUAAAUGCUCCUGCAAUUUUUUGAGAAGUAAAGAGUCAGUUAAAUCCUUCUGAGGGACGCCAUGGAGAAUCCGGUCCUGGAGCCCAGAUCGGAGCGGAUUGCCCGCUACAAGGCUGAGAGGAGGCGAGAGCUGGCUGAACGCUUCGGCACAGUGGAGGAGCUUCCUUCUAAAUGGGUGAGGAGAGAUUCGAGAGAGGUGCACGAGCCAGCACACAGAGGGAUGUUUAACUCGGACGGCCGUGGUGAAAGAGUGAAUGGCAGAACACAAGCAGAGCUUACAAAUGGAUUGGAGGCAGACACUCCUCCAGAGACCAACUACCUGAGAAGCUGCCCUGAUGCAGGGCGAGCCACCUCCUCUCUGGACCUGGCUGUGAAGCCGGGCUCUGAGGGGAGCCGGCGACGCACUCGGCGUUACCUCCCAGGAGGGUCAAUUGGCGGUCGCAAGACCAGCGAACGCUUCAGGACACAGCCAAUCACAGCCAAUGAGAUGGAGGAGAGCAGCGGGUAGGGGCUGUUUGCUGUGGCACCUGGUCUGUUACUACCAAAGAAAAUGCUGUUUGCAGUGGGCUGUUUUUGGCGUGUUGAUAUUUUUAUCAC
Parambassis ranga (Indian glassy fish) is the source of this 930-nucleotide long non-coding RNA. The record is from Ensembl. Lineage: Eukaryota; Metazoa; Chordata; Actinopteri; Ambassidae.